Molecule: long non-coding RNA, 732 nt
Organism: Acanthochromis polyacanthus (spiny chromis)
Lineage: Eukaryota; Metazoa; Chordata; Actinopteri; Pomacentridae
Exons: 5
Source: RefSeq, a predicted model, not a curated record
AGGCUCAGAGAUCUGGAGGCCAUGGUGGCGGUGGAGCGAUCCGGCCAGCAGGAGGCGCUCUGCAGCCUGAAAGCUGCUCAGAGAUCAGUUCAUGGAGGAGAGAGAGAGGAGGGACGCUACUGAGCGCGCUCUGCAGCGGCUGCAGACGGAGUUCGAUCAGUGUCGGUCCUGAUGCGAGCGUUGCCAUGGAAACGCAGAAGAAAGAUGGCGUCCGACCUUUCAGAGCAGCUGGAGGACGAGAAGAGACGACACGCCGACACUCAGUCGCUGCUGCAGCAGGCAGCUCAGAGUCGCAGUGAAGCAGACGAAGCCUUCGUUGGCUCCAUGAAUCAGAUCAGAGAGCUCCUGAAACAACACGGCAGCUCAGGUGAGCCAGCAGAGGAUGCUGGGAGUCGAGUCUUUCUGCUGAAGUCCUGCAGCUGCUGAGGACGACGCUCAGCUCUGACCAACGCAGACUGCAGGAAGCCGACCAAAAGGUUCAGGAUCUGCUGUUUGCAUCACAGAAGCUGCAGGAUGAGAAUCAGAUGCUUCGACUGCUGGCAUCAGAUCAGAAGAGUCAGAUAGAGGAGUCUCGGCUGGUUUCCGUCCAAUUGGAGGAGGAGGUGAUCGGCUGCGUCAGGAGGCGUCUGAUUGGUCAAAACAGAGUCGAGCUCCUCCGAGUCGAGCUGGAUAAAGAGAGAAAAGCCGAGGAUGGAGGAAGUCCAGGAGAAUAACGAAAGCACCAGGAAGAGU